UUCCGGUUGAUCCUGCCGGACCUGACUGCUAUCGGAUUGAUACUAAGCCAUGCGAGUCAUUGUAGCAAUACAAGGCAUACGGCUCAGUAACGCGUAGUCAACCUAACCUAUGGACGGGAAUAACCUCGGGAAACUGAGAAUAAUGCCCGAUAGAACAUUAUGCCUGGAAUGGUUUAUGUUCCAAAUGAUUUAUCGCCGUAGGAUGGGACUGCGGCCUAUCAGUUUGUUGGUGAGGUAAUGGCCCACCAAGACUAUUACAGGUACGGGCUCUGAGAGGAGUAGCCCGGAGAUGGGUACUGAGACACGGACCCAGGCCCUAUGGGGCGCAGUAGGCGAGAAAACUUUGCAAUGUGCGAAAGCACGACAAGGUUAAUCCGAGUGGUUUCUGCUAAAGAAACCUUUUGUCAGUCCUAGAAACACUGAUGAAUAAGGGGUGGGCAAGUUCUGGUGUCAGCCGCCGCGGUAAAACCAGCACCUCAAGUGGUCAGGAUGAUUAUUGGGCCUAAAGCAUCCGUAGCCGGCUCUGUAAGUUUUCGGUUAAAUCUGUACGCUCAACGUACAGGCUGCCGGGAAUACUGCAGAGCUAGGGAGUGGGAGAGGUAGACGGUACUCGGUAGGAAGGGGUAAAAUCCUUUGAUCUAUUGAUGACCACCUGUG
RNAcentral lists this ribosomal RNA (657 nucleotides) under uncultured marine group I thaumarchaeote. RNAcentral's name for it is "bacterial SSU rRNA". It matches the Rfam family "Archaeal small subunit ribosomal RNA", at positions 1 to 665 of the family's 1478-position model. The record is from RNAcentral. Lineage: Archaea; Thermoproteati; Nitrososphaerota.